RNAcentral lists this unclassified non-coding RNA (21 nucleotides) under Mus musculus (house mouse). Its description in RNAcentral is "oocyte_clustered_small_RNA9646". Lineage: Eukaryota; Metazoa; Chordata; Mammalia; Rodentia; Muridae. The record is from RNAcentral.
UUAGAGCACACCAGAUAGUAU